RNAcentral lists this ribosomal RNA (495 nucleotides) under uncultured bacterium. RNAcentral's name for it is "partial 16S ribosomal RNA". It matches the Rfam family "Bacterial small subunit ribosomal RNA", at positions 28 to 507 of the family's 1533-position model. The record is from RNAcentral.
GAUGAACGCUGGCGGCGUGCCUAAUACAUGCAAGUAGAACGCAGAAGGUGGAGCUUGCUUCGCUAGACGAGUUGCGAACGGGUGAGUAACGCGUGGGUAACCUGCCUGGCAGCGGGGGAUAAGUCUUGGAAACGAGAGCUAAUACCGCAUAAGAGUAGGUGUUGCAUGACAUUGUGGAAAGAGGUGCAAUUGCGGCAUGACCAGACGGCCUUGCGUUGUAUUAGCUAGUUGUUGGGGUAACGCCGCACCAAGGCGAGGAUACGUAGCCGACCUGCGAGGGGGGUCGGCCACCCUGGGACGGUGACCCGGCCCAGACGCCUUCGGGAGGCAGCCGUAGUGCUUCGUCGGCAAGCGACGGAAGUCUGACCGAGCUACGCCGCGUCAUUGAAGAAGGUUGUCGGGUCGUAGAGCUCGGUUGUCAGGGAGGAACGAGCGUUAGAGUGGAAAGUUCACACUGUGACGGUACCUUACCAGAAAGCACCGGCUAACUACGUG